This is a long non-coding RNA of Dermochelys coriacea (leatherback sea turtle), 1295 nucleotides long. RefSeq lists it as uncharacterized. The record is from RefSeq and is a predicted model, not a curated record. NCBI's taxonomy places the organism in Eukaryota, Metazoa, Chordata, Testudines, Dermochelyidae. The transcript has 2 exons.
AGUUUCUAAAAAAGCAUAGGAGCGGAUGGUUACCCCUGCAAGGUUCAAAGGUUUUUAAAGCAAAGAAGGAAAAUGUUCUCACUGACAUCACUUCAGCCCCAUCAUCCUACUUUCCCAUGGGGCGUAUUCCAUAUGCGGUUAAGAUAUAAUGGAGUCCGAAGACUAGGUGUGGUGGCAACUGUCAAAUAAAGGAAAGGCAGGGAGAAGGGAAGCUGGCCUUGUCAGGGCUAUGUCACACUCUAUACAGUAAUUUCCUCUGAGCUGGCUGAGUCCUUGGGCAAACUUUGCUUUUGGUAACAGUUGCAAAAUGUUACACACAAUGAAGAUCAUUUUUUCCCCUUUUUCCUAUUGUCCUUUUGUCACUGAAGUGGCCUAAAUUGGCCAACAGUGAGCUUUUAUAUAUUUAUUUUUUAAAAAAAAUUUCCAGUAAAGCACUCCAACAUGUUACUAAUUCCUGAGUCCUAGGUUUAAUGGCCUUCCACUUAAGGUGCAGAUUUGUUGACAUGGAAAUAGUCACACAGCCUAUGUUCUCUUGUACAAGCAUUGCCAGUUCAUUGUGAUAAGUCAUAAACUGCGACUAUGCUUCAAAGCCCGGAAUCCUGACCACCCAUUUCAAUUAAAUUAUUUGAUUCAGGAUCUUUUUCUUUUCUUUUAAACAUGACUACCCUAAUUGUGCACAGUAAGUUCUGAGUACCAGUGUUCAGAGAGGCGGGGAUUGUAGGAUGUACCAAUGGCAAAAUAGUCAUUAUAGCAGAAUUGGAUCUGAUAUAAAUAACCUUUCCCCAUGACAAACACUGUUUGUAAUAAAAUAGCAACUGCAUGUGUUUCUUCAUAUAUGGCUAUGAAGCUUAUUUGAAAAAAGUCAGUCAGUAAACCAUGUGGUCCUCAGACAUAUUUUUCCUGGUGUUUUUUCCCACUACAUACAUAGGUAAAAGAAUAAAUGAACUAGUUUUGGUCAGAGCAACCCAGGUCAUGUGGCUUUGAUAGCUAACAAUGACUAGUGGAAACCAAGAUGAAUGAUGAUUUUUCAUCAAGCCAACAGGUUCCUUCUUUCCCUUCGAAGAGGAUUCCAUUGUGAUUUUGCCUACAUUGCAUAAUCCUGCGUGUGCCUGCUUACGUAAACAUUAUGGUAAUAGCUGAGGUUAGUCAACCUUUCCAUGUUACACUCAAUUUUCUCAGAAGCUUGUAACUCUACUGUGAAACUUGGCAUGGGCAGAAGAUUGGCAUGAGAGUUCCAUCUGGAAGGCAGCUUUGUAUGGGCAACAUUUGAUAAAUCUGUUCAGUGGUUUUCAAAU